This 253-nucleotide ribosomal RNA is filed under the name uncultured bacterium. RNAcentral's name for it is "partial 16S ribosomal RNA". It matches the Rfam family "Bacterial small subunit ribosomal RNA", at positions 524 to 776 of the family's 1533-position model. The record is from RNAcentral.
UACAGAGGUCUCAAGCGUUGUUCGGAAUCACUGGGCGUAAAGGGUGCGUAGGUGGCGUGGCAAGUCAGAUGUGAAAGCCCGGGGCUCAACCUCGGAAUUACAUCCGAUACUGCCAUGCUGGAGUACUGAAGAGGUGACUAGAAUUCUCGGUGUAGCAGUGAAAUGCGUAGAUAUCGAGAGGAAUACCAAAGGCGAAGGCAGGUCACUGGGCAGUUACUGACACUGAGGCACGAAGGCCAGGGGAGCAAACGGG